Molecule: unclassified non-coding RNA, 426 nt
Filed under: Hevea brasiliensis (rubber tree)
Lineage: Eukaryota; Viridiplantae; Streptophyta; Magnoliopsida; Malpighiales; Euphorbiaceae
Source: RNAcentral
UUUUUUGAGGAUCACUUAGAACCUCAUAAGCCUCAGAGAUCUGCUUGAAUUUAGCCUCAGCUUCUUUCUUGUUAUUUGGGUUCUUAUCUGGGUGCCACUUCAUGGCAAGCUUUCUAUAAGCUUUCUUCAAAUCUUCAUCUUUAGCGUUCUUGUCGACCUGCAAUAUCUUGUAGUAAUCAACACCCAUAUCGAAUUUCUCUUCUUCCUCGCUCUGUGUUGCUUGCUGCUGUCUUCUGCUGAAAAUUGAAGGGGUGGCACCCAAUAACCUAUAAAUUACCAGCUAUAUGGUUGGGGGGUUUGGAUUACUGGUGUGGUUGGCUGUGAUGGCGGGAUGUUAGCUUUUGAUGUCCAAUUGAUUGGUGUAGCUAUAUAGGAGGCUCAAUAAGAAGAGGAAAGAAGGAGAAGGAUUUAUCUCGAACAUCUUAG